CAGCAGUAGCCACGGUAAUACAGAGGGUGCGAGCGUUAAUCGGAUUUACUGGGCGUAAAGCGUGCGUAGGCGGCUUCUUAAGUCGGAUGUGAAAUCCCUGAGCUUAACUUAGGAAUUGCAUUCGAUACUGGGAAGCUAGAGUAUGGGAGAGGAUGGUAGAAUUCCAGGUGUAGCGGUGAAAUGCGUAGAGAUCUGGAGGAAUACCGAUGGCGAAGGCAGCCAUCUGGCCUAAUACUGACGCUGAGGUACGAAAGCAUGGGGAGCAAACAGGAUUAGAUACCCCGGUAGUCCCUGUCUCUUAUAC
This 304-nucleotide ribosomal RNA is filed under the name uncultured bacterium. RNAcentral's name for it is "partial 16S ribosomal RNA". It matches the Rfam family "Bacterial small subunit ribosomal RNA", at positions 506 to 807 of the family's 1533-position model. The record is from RNAcentral.